This is an RNA transcript of Quercus lobata, 2415 nucleotides long. It is a transcript of the gene named putative pentatricopeptide repeat-containing protein At1g12700, mitochondrial, with no coding region annotated. The record is from RefSeq and is a predicted model, not a curated record. Lineage: Eukaryota; Viridiplantae; Streptophyta; Magnoliopsida; Fagales; Fagaceae. The transcript is spliced from 3 exons.
UUUUUUUUUUUUUUUUAUAACAACCCAUUUUGGUUUUGGAACAACAUCAUGCAGAAGACGGAGAUAGAGGCACAGAAAGAAAGAAAGAAAGUAGAUAGUGAGAAAGUGCUUUUGCAACGGCCUCUGCUUUUUCUUUUUUCAGGAAAACAAAUGGGUAUGGCUUUUAAAUCAACAAACUCUCUUGCUUUCUUGUUGAAUCUUUUGGUUCCUUAUUGUCAUGUAAGCCUUCCGUUUCAUGCCCUCACUUUUUGUACUCUUACUAAUAAUAAUGCUACUAAUACUAGUAGCAGUAGUAGAGAAAAUGUGGAAAUCCAUAGUCAGAAUCAGAAUCAGUUCUUGAGAUUUGUGAGAGAUCAGUGCAAAACUGGAACCAUAAGGAAUCUUGAUCAUGCCUUAGGAUUGUUUGAUAGAAUGCUUCACAUGUGCCCUUUGCCUUUGGUUAUGGAUUUUACAUAAUUGUUGGGUGCAAUUGUAAGAAUGAAGCAUUACUCUGUAGUCAUUACUCUAAUUAGACAAAUGCGGUCAUUAGGAAUUGCUCCUGGUGUGUAUUCUCUCACUAUUAUGAUUAAUUGCUUUUGCCACUUGAAUCGGGUAGAUUUCGGGUUCUCUGUCUUAGCAAGAAUUUUGAAACUUGGUUACCAACCAAACCAUAUAACUCUGACCACUCUUGUAAAAGGGCUCUGUCUUCAAGGUAACAUUUCUGGAGCUGUUAGGUUGGUAGAAGUAAUGGAAAAGAAUGGGUAUGAACCUGAUGCAAUUACUUGUGCAACGAUAAUUAAUGGUUUAUGUAAGAUUGGUGAGACUAAUAUGGCUAUUAGGUUGCUCAGGAAGAUGGAAGAAGGGAAUUUCGAACUUGAUGUGGUGCUCUAUAGCACUAUCAUUGACAGUUUAUGUAAGGAAAGGCCUAUGCAAUUUCGGCUGUGGAGGGAGGUUGCUACUUUGUUGAAUGAGAUGACACAAAGGAAGAUCAUGCCAAAUGUGCAAACCUUUAGCAUAUUGGUGGACACACUUUGCAAGGGAGGGAAAUUGAUGGAGGCAAAAGAAGUUUUUGAUGUGAUGAUUCAAAGAGGCAUUCAGCCUAACAUAGUCACUUACAAUUCUUUGAUUGAUGGGUAUUGUUUGCAAAACCGAAUUGAUGAGGUAGUUAAGGCAUUUAGUAUGAUGGUUGAGAAGGGUUGUUCACCUUGUAUUUUUAGCUAUAGCAUAUUGAUCAAUGCAUAUUGCAAAAAUAAAAGAAUUGAUGAGGUAAUGUGUGUUUUUCAUGAAAUUUUCAACAAGGGAAUUAUUCCUAAUGUUGUGAGUUACAACACUCUUAUAAGUGGGUUUUGUCGAGUUGGGAGUCCUCAUAUUGCACUAGGGCUAUUUCAUAAGAUGCAAGCUUGUGGCCAACUUCCGAAUUCCCAGACAUAUGCUAUCUUGUUAGAUGGACUUUGUAAGAACAAACAAAUUGCUAAGGCGAUGGAAUUGUUUCAGCAGGUGGAGGACAAAACUUUGGGCCACUAUAUUGUGAUUUAUAAUGUCUUGAUUGGCGGUUUGUGUAACGCUAGGAAGCUUACAACUGCAGAGAACUCUUUUAUAGUCUCACCUCCAAAGGAUUGCAACCUAAUGUUUUGACUUACACUAUAAUGAUCAAAGGGCUUUGUGAAGAAGAUUGAUAGAUGAAGCGGGCGAUUUGCUUGAGAAAAUGGAUGGGAACGGUUGUUCACCUAACGAUCGUACAUAUAACACAAUUAUCCAAGGGUUAUUGAAACAUAAUGAAAUAAUUAAGGCCAGGAAAUAUCUCAAAAUAAUGGUUGACAAGGGUUAUUCAGCAAAUGCGGCCGUUGCAACCAUGUUAGUUGACUUGCUAUCUUCUAGUCAAGCUGAUAAAAACAUUCAAGAAUUGCUUUAGGAGUUUGUGUGAAGGAUUUUUAGCUUCUCAACAUCAAGGGAACCUUUCAUAUUUUAACCCAUCACAAGUCAAUUUGGGCUCUAACUUAAUAUUUCGGGUUAUGGAAUUUUCGGGAAGACUUACAGGAAGACUGGCCUUUAGGUGUGUUAUAUGGUCCUCUUGGGUGUGAUACUCAAGAAUACUAAUGUAUGCUAGGUUCAUAUAUCUUUUUCUUUCUCACUACAGUGACCUUUAUUAUGUUCUAAUCCUUAAUCAAAUCUAAUCUAUCACAGACAGCUAGUUUUCCAAAUCACAUGUGACCAUCCAUAGGCUACAUUUUGUUAAAAAUUGGAUACAAGGCUCAAUCCACAUGUGGCCAUCCAGCUUGGACCAGAUAUGCCAAAGACAAUAUUUGUUUGCCAAAUGGGUGUUUGCCACAUGUCACAAGAAAAGGGUCCUGAGCAGCUAUAAAAGUAGGGAAAAAUACUUUAGUUUGAUGUUUUUAUGAAAUGAUAGAAAGUUUGUUUGCAAUUGGUGAUACGAUG